AGGCACCGCCGCAAUCAUCUUAAAAUCCGCGGGGUCCCCCCGGAGAUCGACGCAGAGGAAUUACCUCACUAUAUAAGAAGGCUAAUUGCCUCACUGUUGCCAUCAACACUAGCCAAGAAAUUCACUAUAAAUGGACUGUACCGACUGCCCACCAUCACCAAAACGGCAACCCCAAUCACUGGCGACGUCAUUCUUCGUUGCUGUACACCACAAGAUAAGGGCCAGAUCAUGGCAGCUGUGAGGGGAAAAACCCCAUUACCAUUCGAAGAUUCACACCUAUCCUUCUACCAAGACCUCACUGAAACUACCCUUCAAUGGCGUAAAUCACUGCAGCCUCUCACCAGCCGUCUGUGUUCCGCAGGGAUAACGUACAGAUAGGGCGCGCCAAGAUCCCUACUAAUCACACACAACGGGACGACCCACAAG
Non-coding RNA from Pelobates cultripes (western spadefoot toad), 426 nucleotides. Lineage: Eukaryota; Metazoa; Chordata; Amphibia; Anura; Pelobatidae. The record is from the annotation of a GenBank genome assembly.